ACCUCAUGAUUAGGACAUUGAGUAAACUUUCUAUUAAAUCUUUCCCAAACCUCGUAUAAGGAUUUUCCAUUCAAUUGUCUAAAGUUAGUGAUUUCAUCAAUCAAUU
Molecule: non-coding RNA, 106 nt
Organism: Capsicum annuum
Lineage: Eukaryota; Viridiplantae; Streptophyta; Magnoliopsida; Solanales; Solanaceae
Source: Rfam